This 162-nucleotide ribosomal RNA is filed under the name Plantago nubicola. RNAcentral describes it as "5.8S ribosomal RNA". It matches the Rfam family "5.8S ribosomal RNA". From Rfam's summary of the family: 5.8S ribosomal RNA (5.8S rRNA) is a component of the large subunit of the eukaryotic ribosome. It is transcribed by RNA polymerase I as part of the 45S precursor that also contains 18S and 28S rRNA. The record is from RNAcentral. Lineage: Eukaryota; Viridiplantae; Streptophyta; Magnoliopsida; Lamiales; Plantaginaceae.
UCAAAAUGACUCUCGGCAACGGAUAUCUCGGCUCUCGCAUCGAUGAAGAACGUAGCGAAAUGCGAUACUUGGUGUGAAUUGCAGAAUCCCGUGAACCAUCGAGUCUUUGAACGCAAGUUGCGCCCGAUGCCUUCGGGCUGAGGGCACGCCUGCCUGGGCGUC